UCCAUUUUAAAAACUCCAGUUUGAAACCUGCAGUCUCACUAGGAACACCUAAUGGAGCCCUCCAGUAAGGCCUCAGACAUAAACAAGUCACUUCCCCUCACCCUGAUAAACAGAGUGAAACCUCUGGCAGGCUAUCCUCGCCUGAUAAGAGGGAAAGGCGAGAAGAUCAGGAUGGAGACCAACAGAACAGAUGUUUCUGACCCCAGAGUAAACUGAUGUCAUGGAGAAAUCUGGUGGUAGCUGAUAAGGAUUGAAAGGGGGGGUCAAAAGCCCCCAAAUUUAGUAUAAAUAAUAGAGCUGAUGAACCAAUUCAGCCAGCCGAAGCAAGGAUGCGCUUGAGCUGGAGAGCCUGGACUGACAUCCCAUCACUUGUCAUGGUUUCCUGAUCCUCUGUGUGAUCCUCACUGCUCUCAAACUCUACCGCCUCAUCUGGACCCUGGUGAGAGCCUCAACUUCUCCCUAUGACCCCCUCCUCAACUGGUCGUCCACUCCAUGCCAGGAAAAGCCUGCCUUGGUUCCGGACCUGGUCACUGUGGUCUGAGUGAGUGUGCAUCUGCUGGACUUAAAGCCUAAGGCUUGAGACUUUUGAACUUAGCAUGCAGAGGGAAUGUUUGUCAUUAGCCUGUCAUGAUUAAGUGUAUUUGCAGUGCUUAGAAUUAAUCUAGAAUUGUUUGCUGUGAAUUGAUUAUGUCUAUUGCAGUUCCUAGCAUUAAGGAUUGUCGUUUUCUUGAUUAAGAACCUAUAGGGUGAAAUUGUAUUGAG
Molecule: long non-coding RNA, 762 nt
Filed under: Marmota monax (woodchuck)
Lineage: Eukaryota; Metazoa; Chordata; Mammalia; Rodentia; Sciuridae
Source: RNAcentral